Molecule: ribosomal RNA, 304 nt
Filed under: uncultured bacterium
Lineage: Bacteria
Description: bacterial SSU rRNA
Rfam family: Bacterial small subunit ribosomal RNA
Source: RNAcentral
CCUAACACAUGCAAGUCGAACGGUAGCAGGAAGAAGCUUGCUUCUUUGCUGACGAGUGGCGGACGGGUGAGUAAUGUCUGGGAAACUGCCUGAUGGAGGGGGAUAACUACUGGAAACGGUAGCUAAUACCGCAUAACGUCGCAAGACCAAAGAGGGGGACCUUCGGGCCUCUUGCCAUCGGAUGUGCCCAGAUGGGAUUAGCUAGUAGGUGGGGUAACGGCUCACCUAGGCGACGAUCCCUAGCUGGUCUGAGAGGAUGACCAGCCACACUGGAACUGAGACACGGUCCAGACUCCUACGGGAG